AGAGCGAACGCUGGCGGCAGGCCUAACACAUGCAAGUCGAACGAACUCUUCGGAGUUAGUGGCGGACGGGUGAGUAACACGUGGGAACGUGCCUUUAGGUUCGGAAUAACUCAGGGAAACUUGUGCUAAUACCGAAUGUGCCCGUUCGGGGGAAAGAUUUAUCGCCUUUAGAGCGGCCCGCGUCUGAUUAGCUUGUUGGUGGGUAAUGGCCCACCGAAGGCUACGAUCAGUAGCUGGUCUGAGAGGAUGACCAGCCACAGUUGGGACUGAGACGACGGACCCAAACUCCUAACGGGACGCAGCAGGUGGGGAAUCUGCGACAAGUGGGACGAAACGGCC
This 339-nucleotide ribosomal RNA is filed under the name uncultured soil bacterium. Its description in RNAcentral is "bacterial SSU rRNA". It matches the Rfam family "Bacterial small subunit ribosomal RNA", at positions 26 to 383 of the family's 1533-position model. The record is from RNAcentral.